AACGCAGAGCAUGGAGUUUCUGUAGCAGUGUCCUCAGUGGCUGGAUAAAUAUUGAGACGUGGUUAAGGAUUCUGGAAACCUCUUUGUCUAGCCACACUUAGACUUUUUUCAGCUAAUCCUUUAAUUUGAAUAUAAUCUUUAGUCCGAGGAUUCCCAUUUAAACAACUCAGUAUUCUUUUAAGUGUGUCUUUUAGCCCAGCUCAAGUUAACAUGAAACUCCAGGUGAAUUUUCGCUUAUGAUUCCAUUGCUAGCUAUUAUAUAAUAAUAGCGUUUGCUGCACUAUUCUAGUCAUGAAGAGUGAGGAAAAACACAUACCUAGGUUGUCUCCCUUAAAUGGUUUGCUUUGCUGAAUGCUUUUUUAUCCUAAUCACCUGCAAAUUUAUAACCCAAUCAUUCUUUCUCAAGAUUUGAAAAUGUUUUAAUCCUGCAAACUGGGUGAAUUCUAAACAGCUCUACAAAUAUAAGGAAAUAUUACAGCAAAUUUUAACUGAUUGUGAUUUUUUUCCCCAUUCCCCAACACCCCAACCUAUUUUUGUGGACAUUGGUGAAUAAUCUGGAGCCUCUCUUCAUUGGAUAAUAUAUAAACCAGCUUAACUCAAGCCUUGCAACUAAAUCAUACAUGAAGACAUUAACUCUUUGCUUAGGUUCCUAGCAGAUAUACCUGAGAAGAAGCUUCAUUUAAGUAAAAAUUAAUAUGUUUGAAACUUUAGAGAUCCAGUUUUUUACAAUUCUGUGUCUGUGGAAGAGAAGGAUAUACAGGGAAUGCUAGGGAAUAAUUAGCAUUAAACAUUAAGCUUUUGGUGGGUAGUGGUGGUGGUACUGAUCUUGCUUAAUGAAAUUUCCUUAGAGUUCAGUCAAGGCACUAAGGCAAAGAGAGCCCAUUGAGGAAGAACAAUGGAACAGAAUUUCUGGAAUUAAUGUUUAGUGCCUCGUGUUGUAUUUAGGAAAGUGAAACAUAUUUCCUGUAAGAGGGAAUUCACCAAGCACAAGAAUAAUGAAUGCUUUAUUUUGUCUCUCUUUUGACUUCUCCAGAAAACACAGAAUUAAUAAUCACCUCCCUUCACAGGUGAGGGGAUGAAGGUCCGGAAGGGCGAAACAUACAGCCCCAAGUAAUCUCUGAUCUGGGUAGAGUCAGAGCCCAACAGGCUUGUUUAUACUAUGAUUAUUCAGGCUCAGCCUUCUCCUAGAGAAAGGCUGACUCUAAAUGGUCAAGUAAGUUGGGUUUCCCUUAAUGUUUCUUGCAUUCUUCUACUAAGAUAUAGUUUAUUAGGCAAUUGAAUAAAGAAUUAUAUCCCCCAGCCCUGACUCCCAUAUAUUAUGUAAGUGAGGAUAGUUGUUUGGGAAUUUAGCACAGGGCACUUUUUUUUAACUUAAAAUUUGAACUUAAUUUACCUCACAAAGCUGCUGGGACUGGACUGGAUAACAAUGAUGUUCUGGUUACUGUGAUGCUGAAACAGAUUUCAAGACAGAUAAUAGCUCACCAUGUUGGGGUAAAAUGUUGGUAUGUUGCACAUAGGUGCAAGAACUUUGUGUUUUAGAGAGACCAACUUCUUAAAUGUGUAACAGUUAACAUUGUGAGGUGACUGCAUUUAUCUGGAUUUCACCUGCAGCUGGGCCUAUAGCCUGCCUGAGGUCAGAAAAUUUUUCAUGACCCAUUUUUUACCCUGAAUUGACAAGUUUAGAAAACAGGUUAAUGGACUGUUUCAUCCUCCUGGACCUUGAAAAGCUGGCUGACCAAUAUUAGACUAUUACUGCUACAUUAGUGUGCUAGGGAAACCUUUUUGCUGCACAUGCAGAUUUUUCUGUGACAUUUUGACUAGAUUUUGUGGGCUUCUGGGUACUAUGCUGUUUUCCUUUGCAAACCAUCUUCAUCCUUCUCAUUUGAAGCAGAGUUGAAGUGGCUAACGCAGGGAAUGCAUUUACGGAAGCUUGCACCCUAUCUGCCUUUGUUCAGCAAUGCAGGUGGCUCCUAGCAUUUAUCUAUGUUAUAAAUAUGUGAGGUCAGGGAGGGGUACUUACUAACCUCUGGAAAAGAUGAGCUUCUUGGUAAAUAUUUAUUGACUUACGGUAGAAGCAAACAUAGAAAACUAGUUCAGAACUUAGCCUUAAUAUGCCUUUUCUCCUGGAAGUAAAAUUAUUCUCACUGUGAGACAGAAGACAUUGGACCUUAGCUUCCAGAGGACCCGGAUACAUUUUACUCGCUCUCUAGUACCAAUUCAGUCACUAAUGUGGUACCUGAAUACAAUUUAAACGCUUUAGGAGGCCUUAGGUAGGGUGGGACUCAGAAUCAUUUCCCUCUCUCAAGCCAAAAAGUGUUUCUGAGGAACACACAGAACAUCAGGUGAUCUAGAUGGGAACAUUUGGGAAAACUAUCACAGGCAAUUAUAUUUACUUGGCACCUAUAUCACCAAAGAUUGUUCUGUUUGAGACACCAUUUACUGGUUUAAUUGAUCAACAGUGGAACAUGCCCUGGAUUUGAACUCUGAUCCUGUUUAUUGAGGAUGUGCCUUGUGUGCACACACCAGUUCAAAAGUGUUCUGUGUUAUCAGUAGGAAACCUGUUGGCCUUAUGAAGCUAAAUGAGAAGAAGGCAUCACUACAAAAAAUGAAGUAUAAAUCUUGGUGGGGACCAGAAGCCGCCUUUUCAAGCUUGGAUUUCCUUGCUCCUGGGUCCAUUGUAAGCAACCAUAUGUUUGUCAUGGUGCUGACUGAGAAAUCGUAGGACAAAGAGCCUCCUGCAAAACCAAAAAGAAAUGUUACUGUCCUGCAAUUAUAAUUCUUCCUUGACUUUGUUCACUUUAGAUGUUUUACUAGUGAGUUUUGAUGACUCCCACCCCUUAUGUGAGAAUGUGUAUACUUUGGAAACUUGAAUUUAUCCAAACAAGCUACCUAUGACUUAGAGUCGGCAUAAGUUUUAAAUUCAAUGCUCAGUCCAAAUGGAUCUGGUUCCAGGCCCACUCCAAGGGUGGUUCCAGGUGUGUUUAUUCAGUACUUGUACCAGACCACACAGGUAGCCUUGUUUCUGAGGGCAGCUUUAUGGGGAGGUGUAGAAGGUGGUGGGCAGCAAAUGCACUGCAGAAUCAUUUACUUGGGUAUGGUGUUUAAGGAGCCUGAGAUUUUCACAAGAACCAGCAAAACCAGGAGUGGAGAAUUGGGGAGAGAGAGAAGUAGGCCUAAAACUCCCUCUUCUUGUGUCUUUUUUGACUUAAUACACCAUUGGGUCUGUCCUGGUGCUAUGGCCUAUCACAAAGGAUUGUUUUAAGAGAGAAGCAAGCCACAGCCUUGCCAGAUAAAUCUCCAACACCAGCAGAAAAGCACGGACCCUGAUCUAUGGGAGGCAAGGGUCUCCCAUUACUUCUGGAGGCAAAUGGUGCCUUCUAGUGAAAUGGUGCCACCAUUUGCUGAUGCGGGUGCCUGUUCUCAGGAUGUGUAGAAACUCGGGCUUCUACAUGGGUUUCUACAUGGUUUAUUCAAUCUAACUGCAUACCUAGCUUGGCAGAAUGGAGGUGGACAAAAGUGCUGAAAGGAUGAAGGUAGGCUUUUAGGGCAAAUCAAGUCACAAAGCAGAUGAUUGAGGGAGGUUACAAAGCUUAGGCAGAGUUAAAGUUGGGCAGUCCGUUAGCUCAUUUUGCAAGUAUCUCUGGAGAAGGUAGUUUGUUUCUCUUGAGAUUUUAAGUGCUCAUUUCUUUUCCCCUCCUUUUUUUUUUUUUCCAUUGAAUAUUCUCUAAAGACAAUCAGAGGCCUGCCAGGGAGGGACUCCUGGCUGGUUCCAGCACUGUCCUUAGGCCUCUUUUUAAUACUAACUUGUUGGAAUUGAUGCACUUUGUUUAAUGUAUUUUGCCUUUUUUUUUUAAGCUGCUCAUUUAGAACAAAAUCAAAUGCUUAUUGCAUUGUAUCCUUCCUGCUUGCUGUUUUUCCUCUUAAUUUCAAGUUAUGCAUUGAAGAUAAAAGUACACUUAAGAAGUAUGCACAAGAAUACCUAUUAAAAUAACUCCCAUCAAGUUUGAUGGUAUAACUUCAAAGGAUUAAAAAAACUAUUUUGGAUUAAUAUUUUGCGUGGUUUUUUUUGUAAAUAUGAUUGUAUAUAAGCUUGUGGUACAUUAUGACAGUUUUAAGUGGUUGUGAGAACACUAAAGAAAACAGGUCUUAAGCUAUGUUUAACCUUAACUUUGUGCUGAUUUGACAGCAAGGAAGGCAUUUUGGCCAGAGUAAAUUUUUUCAAACUCUUUCCAGUGGGACCUCAGAGAAUCAUUUCCAAAUGGAUGAAAAGUUCCUUCCUACUUUAAUAAAACUCCAGAAUUCUUUCCCCUCUCUUGCUGUCUCAUCCUUUACUUUCUAGAUUUAGGUGCUUUUUAAUUCCAGUUCAGGAAAGAUAGGAAGAGUAGAAUUUCCCCAUAGCAACCUUGCUCCUGGCAUUGGGGAUUCUGCCUCUAAUCUCUGAAGACUGCUUCUUGUUUGUUCCUCUGUGAGCCUUAAGGAUUCCUCCACAGCUGGAUGUGCAGAACAAUUCUUUGUUAAAAUCAUCACUUUUCAGCUCAGUGUCCAAUUUUCCUUGAGCUGUCUGUGUCUUUAAGCAAUCAAUAGUCUCCUUAUGCCCAGCCACAAUCUCUUCUGCUUUAAGACGUAGCCUCUUGUUUGAUUCUCUCUAAACAUUGUACUGUUAACUGUUGAGCACCCUCAUAAGAUCCCUCUUAGACUAAAAGAUAGUUCAUGCAAUUUUAAUUUUCCCUUAUCCAUUUAUUUUCUUAAUCUGAUUUCCUGUAUUUGCCCAUGGCCAGUACUUGUGGAGAGUUUAAAAUUUUAUAAAUUAAAAUUUCAUUUAAAUUAA
Molecule: long non-coding RNA, 4828 nt
Organism: Macaca fascicularis (crab-eating macaque)
Lineage: Eukaryota; Metazoa; Chordata; Mammalia; Primates; Cercopithecidae
Source: Ensembl